GUGGAGGGAGGCUCAUCAGUGGAGCCAUGAACUGAAUGCGUCACAUCACUGCACCCCGUGUCCCUCGGGAAGGUCUGAGACUUGGGCUAAAAGUGGCUCUAAUAGGACUCUUCCUGAAUUUUGGGGAGGUGAGUUUCCAGAGAACUGGACUCCAUGCAGGGUCAGACUAGGCAGAAGGUGCCAUGGACUGCCAGAGCUUGGAACAGACUCAUAACUAGUGAAGUGAGUUAAAAAUAGUUUAGUAAUAAUUCUCAUUCAAAUAAUAAUGAGUAACAGUUAUUUCUUACUCUGUGCCAC
Molecule: RNase P RNA, 297 nt
Filed under: Carlito syrichta (Philippine tarsier)
Lineage: Eukaryota; Metazoa; Chordata; Mammalia; Primates; Tarsiidae
Description: Nuclear RNase P (ENSTSYG00000024769.2)
Rfam family: Nuclear RNase P
About the family: Ribonuclease P (RNase P) is a ubiquitous endoribonuclease, found in archaea, bacteria and eukarya as well as chloroplasts and mitochondria. Its best characterised activity is the generation of mature 5'-ends of tRNAs by cleaving the 5'-leader elements of precursor-tRNAs.
Source: RNAcentral